GGAUUAUUUUAUUGGAUAGAUUAGUAAUUAAAUUAAUUUAUAUGGGUCAUUUAUUAAUAUCAAAGAAUUAGUUAUGAGAUGGCAUUAUAUUUCCUAUUACUUAGAUGGGUAAUUUUGUAACUUUGUGAAAUUAGGUUAAUAUGCCCACCUAUUGUGGCUUUAAGUCAUGGAAAACAAACAAAGCAGAGGCUAUGAAUUGCUCCAUAGGCGGCUAGGGUUUGAGAAGGUAAAAUAAAAAAAGAAAAGAAAAAGAGAAGAGAGGUUCAAGUGAGGCUACAAUAGGGAUUGAAGGCAGCACGUUGGUGAUUUUUGGGACACCCAUUGGUUAAGGUUUGUGUGAUUGAAGUGGUGAAAUUGGGUGUUUGGAGUUGGUGUUGGAGUGUUAUUUCUAAGCGUUUGAGAUUCUGAGGAGUAGAGCUGUGCAGGGUUUUUACUUGUGGGAGUGCCGAGAGUAGGACUAUGAUUUAAGUAUUUGGAUCAUUAUUAUUAUUAUUAUUAUUUUUAUUAGUAGACUUGGUGGACAAUUUCAUAUGAUAAGAAUUAUCUAUUCGUAUGGUUUUUAGCAUUAUGAUAUUUAAGGAUUUAAUUUGAGUAUUUUACAUUGUUGGUUAUGUGUUGGAUUCUUAGCCUUGCAUGCUCACUUAAAUGAGUGUGCGGCGUUGUCACGGAGC
Camellia sinensis is the source of this 671-nucleotide non-coding RNA. Lineage: Eukaryota; Viridiplantae; Streptophyta; Magnoliopsida; Ericales; Theaceae. The record is from RefSeq and is a predicted model, not a curated record.